This 389-nucleotide long non-coding RNA is filed under the name Mus spicilegus (steppe mouse). Its description in RNAcentral is "lncRNA (ENSMSIG00000023594.1)". Lineage: Eukaryota; Metazoa; Chordata; Mammalia; Rodentia; Muridae. The record is from RNAcentral.
GUAAGAGUGAACAUCGGGCUGCCGGCAGGCCCCUGGCCUCAUUGUUUAUUUACAGAAAGGCCUUGAGGAACAGAGAAGGGGAGGAAACACAAAGGAUGUGUUUCUGUGAAGUGGAACAAUGAGAAUUUCUGGAUUAUGGAAAUGAUGAAGGAAAAGUUGCAAUUUUGUUCAUCUACUGUAAACAGACACCUUCCUUAUAGACUUCCCAGCUCAGAUCCUACUUCCUAUGUGGGACUUCUCCAAAUUUCUGAUGACAAUAUCACAGUGACCACCCAGUGGCUGUCAUCUCCAACAAUCGUUUACAGAGAAGGAGAGGGCAUCCCAAAACCGCUGAUAGCUCAUUGGAAGAUUGAAGCAAGGCAUGGCAAGUAUUACCACGGCGCGCAGUG